Molecule: ribosomal RNA, 903 nt
Filed under: uncultured archaeon
Lineage: Archaea
Description: bacterial SSU rRNA
Rfam family: Archaeal small subunit ribosomal RNA
Source: RNAcentral
CCCGCCGGACCUGACUGCUAUCGGAUUGAUACUAAGCCAUGCGAGUCUUUGCAGUAAUGCAAGGCAUACGGCUCAGUAACACGUAGUCAACUUACCCUAUGGACGAGGAUAAUCUCGGGAAACUGAGCAUAAUACUCGAUAGAUCAUAAUGCCUGGAAUGGUUUAUGGUUGAAAUGAUUCGUCGCCAUAGGAUGGGACUGCGGCCUAUCAGCUUGUUGGUGAGGUAAUGGCCCACCAAGGCGAUUACAGGUACGGGCUCUGAGAGGAGAAGCCCGGAGAUGGGUACUGAGACAAGGACCCAGGCCCUAUGGGGCGCAGCAGGCGAGAAAACUUUGCAAUGUGCGAAAGCACGACAAGGUUAAUCCGAGUGAUUUCUGCUAAAGAAAUCUUUUGCAAGUCAUAAAACCACUAGUGAAUAAGGGGUGGGCAAGUUCUGGUGUCAGCCGCCGCGGUAAAACCAGCACCUCAAGUGGUCAGGAGGAUUAUUGGGCCUAAAGCAUCCGUAGCCGGCUCUGUAAGUUUUCGGUUAAAUCCAUGUGCUCAACGCAUGGGCUGCCGAAAAUACUGCAUAGCUAGGGAGUGGGAGAGGUAGACGGUACUCGGUAGGAAGGGGUAAAAUCCUUUGAUCUAUCGAUGACCACCUGUGGCGAAGGCGGUCUACCAGAACACGUUCGACGGUGAGGGAUGAAAGCUGGGGGAGCAAACCGGAUUAGAUACCCGGGUAGUCCCAGCUGUAAACGAUGCAGACUCGAUGAUGCAUUGGCAUAUAGCCAGCGCAGUGUCGCAGGGAAGCCGUUAAGUCUGCCGCCUGGGAAGUACGUACGCAAGUAUGAAACUUAAAGGAAUUGGCGGGGGAGCACCACAAGGGGUGAAGCCUGCGGUUCAAUUGGAGUCAACGCCGGA